GCGGACGGGUGAGUAACGCGUAUGCAACCUACCUAUUGCAGGAAGAUAGCCCGAGGAAACUCGGAUUAAUAUUCCAUAAUAUCAUUUUUACACAUGUAUUAAUGAUUAAAGCUACGGCGGCAAUAGAUGGGCAUGCGUACCAUUAGCUAGUUGGUGAGGUAACGGCUCACCAAGGUUACGAUGGUUAGGGGGUCUUAAAGGAUGAUCCCCCACACUGGUACUGAGACACGGACCAGACUCCUACGGGAGGCAGCAGUGAGGAAUAUUGGGCAAUGGACGCAAGUCUGACCCAGCCAUGCCGCGUGCAGGAUGACUGCUCUAGUAGUUGUAAACUGCUUUUCUAUUUCAUGAACCCCUCUGACGUGUCAGGGGCUGACAGUAGAAUAGGAAUAAGCAUCGGCUAACUCCGUGCCAGCAGCCGCGGUAAUACGGAGGAUGCAAGCGUUAUCCGGAUUUACUAGGUUUAAAGGGUGCGUAGGCGGGGUAUCAAGUCAGUGGUGAAAUCCUGCAGCUCAACUGUAGAACUGCCAUUGAAACUGAUAUUCUUGAGUAUAGUUGAGGUAGGCGGAAUGUGUUAAGUAGCGGUGAAAUGCAUAGAGAUAACACAGAACACCGAUUGCGAAGGCAGCUACUAAACUAUUACUGACGCUGAGGUACGAAAGCGUGGGGAGCGAACAGGAUUAGAUACCCUGGUAGUCCACGCCGUAAACGUUGAUCACUAGUUGUUUGCGAUACAUUGUGAGCGACUGAACAAAAGCAUUAAGUGAUCCACCUGGGGAGUACGUUGGCAACGAUGAAACUCAAAGGAAUUGACGGGGGCCCGCACAAGCGGAGGAACAUGUGGUUUAAUUCGAUGAUACGCGAGGAACCUUACCUGGGCUUAAAUGUAAGACGACUAACAGGGAAACUUGUUAUCUUUCGAGCGUCCUACAAGGUGCUGCAUGGUUGUCGUCAGCUCGUGCCGUGAGGUGUCGGGUUAAGUCCCAUAUCGA
This 992-nucleotide ribosomal RNA is filed under the name uncultured organism. RNAcentral's name for it is "bacterial SSU rRNA". It matches the Rfam family "Bacterial small subunit ribosomal RNA", at positions 98 to 1095 of the family's 1533-position model. The record is from RNAcentral.